ACGGGUGAGUAACACGUGGGUAACCUGCCCUGCAGAGGGGGAUAACAUUCGGAAACGGAUGCUAAAACCGCAUAGGUCUUCAAACCGCAUGGUUUGAAUAUGAAAAGAGGCGCUGGCUUCUGCUGAUGGAUGGACCCGCGGUGCAUUAUCUAGUGGGAGGGGUAACGGCUCCCCAAGGCCGUGAUGCAUAGCCGACCUGAGAGGGUGAUCGGCCACAUUGGGACUGACACACGGCCCAAACUCCUACGGGAGGCAGCAGUAGGGAAUCUUCCGCAAUGGACGCAAGUCUGACGGAGCAACGCCGCGUGAGUGAAGAAGGUUUUCGGAUCGUAAAACUCUGUUGUUAGAGAAGAACAAGUGCUAGAGUAACUGUUAGCGCCUUGACGGUAUCUAACCAGAAAAGCCACGGCUAACUACGUGCCAGCAGCCGCGGUAAUACGUAGGUCCGCAAGCGUUUGUCCGGAUUUAUUGGGGCGUAAAGCGAGCGCAGGCGGUUUGAUUAAGUCUGAAUGUAAAAGCCCGCCGGCUUCAACCGGGGAGGGUCUUGUGGAACAGUGAGGAUCUUGAGUGCAGAGGGAAGAGAGUGAAAUUCCGUGUGUAGCGGAGAAUGUGCGUAUAUAUAUGAGAGAGAAACACCAGUGGCGAAGCGCGACUCUGUGGUCUGUAUGUGACUCUGACGCUCGAAAAGCGUGGGUAGCAACACAGAUAUUAUAUACCUGUGUAUAGCUCCCACGCCCGAUAAC
Molecule: ribosomal RNA, 743 nt
Filed under: uncultured bacterium
Lineage: Bacteria
Description: bacterial SSU rRNA
Rfam family: Bacterial small subunit ribosomal RNA
Source: RNAcentral